Molecule: transfer RNA, 72 nt
Filed under: Dibamus novaeguineae
Lineage: Eukaryota; Metazoa; Chordata; Lepidosauria; Squamata; Dibamidae
Description: tRNA-Leu
Source: RNAcentral
ACUUCUAAAGAAUAAAAGUCAUUCACUGUCCUUAGGCGCCAAAAAACUUGGUGCAAUUCCAAGUAGAAGUAC